CGUGGGUUCGAAUCCCACUUCUGACACCA
This 29-nucleotide non-coding RNA is filed under the name Bombyx mori (domestic silkworm). RNAcentral also lists the same sequence under 7 other names. Lineage: Eukaryota; Metazoa; Arthropoda; Insecta; Lepidoptera; Bombycidae. The record is from RNAcentral.